UCCCGGGAAGUCCUUGUG
Molecule: non-coding RNA, 18 nt
Filed under: Arabidopsis thaliana (thale cress)
Lineage: Eukaryota; Viridiplantae; Streptophyta; Magnoliopsida; Brassicales; Brassicaceae
Source: RNAcentral